GAACGGGUGAGUAACACGUGGGUGAUCUGCCCUGCACUUUGGGAUAAGCCUGGGAAACUGGGUCUAAUACCGAAUAUGACCAUGCGCCUCCUGGUGUGUGGUGGAAAGCUUUUGCGGUGUGGGAUGGGCCCGCGGCCUAUCAGCUUGUUGGUGGGGUAAUGGCCUACCAAGGCGACGACGGGUAGCCGGCCUGAGAGGGUGACCGGCCACACUGGGACUGAGAUACGGCCCAGACUCCUACGGGAGGCAGCAGUGGGGAAUAUUGCACAAUGGGCGCAAGCCUGAUGCAGCGACGCCGCGUGAGGGAUGACGGCCUUCGGGUUGUAAACCUCUUUCAGCACAGACGAAGCGCAAGUGACGGUAUGUGCAGAAGAAGGACCGGCCAACUACGUGCCAGCAGCCGCGGUAAUACGUAGGGUCCGAGCGUUGUCCGGAAUUACUGGGCGUAAAGAGCUCGUAGGUGGUUUGUCGCGUUGUUCGUGAAAACUCACAGCUUAACUGUGGGCGUGCGGGCGAUACGGGCAGACUUGAGUACUGCAGGGGAGACUGGAAUUCCUGGUGUAGCGGUGGAAUGCGCAGAUAUCAGGAGGAACACCGGUGGCGAAGGCGGGUCUCUGGGCAGUAACUGACGCUGAGGAGCGAAAGCGUGGGGAGCGAACAGGAUUAGAUACCCUGGUAGUCCACGCCGUANACGGUGGGUACUAGGUGUGGGUUUCCUUCCUUGGGAUCCGUGCCGUAGCUAACGCAUUAAGUACCCCGCCUGGGGAGUACGGCCGCAAGGCUAAAACUCAAAGANNNUGAC
This 802-nucleotide ribosomal RNA is filed under the name uncultured bacterium. RNAcentral describes it as "bacterial SSU rRNA". It matches the Rfam family "Bacterial small subunit ribosomal RNA", at positions 100 to 914 of the family's 1533-position model. The record is from RNAcentral.